RNAcentral lists this long non-coding RNA (1478 nucleotides) under Sus scrofa (pig). RNAcentral describes it as "lncRNA (ENSSSCG00040047374.1)". Lineage: Eukaryota; Metazoa; Chordata; Mammalia; Artiodactyla; Suidae. The record is from RNAcentral.
UUAGGCAGAGAGCUCUUACACUUGCCACAGAAGGCUGAUCCAUAAAAGGAUGUGAUGACAAGUUAAACUUCUUCAAAAUAACUUUUUCUCCUCUUUGAAAGACCCUGUUAAGGGAGUGAAUAGACAAGAUACAUAUUGGGACAAAGUAUCGGAACACAGCAUAUACAGCAAAAUAAGAUGUAAUGCUUUCUCAAAAGUGAAAGUAAAAAUUCAAACAGCAUACAAUUCAACUACCAUAUGGACAAAAACAUGAAGCAGCAUUUCAUUGGAGACUCAGAGAUGACAAAUAAGUAUAUGAAAAAAUAUUCAAUAUCAUUAACCAUUAGAGAAAUGCAAAUUAAAAUCACAAUCAGAUGCCGCUACACAGUUAGCAGAAUGGCUUAAAAAAGUGAUACCACUAACUGUUGGUGAAUAGCAGGUAUUGCGUAACCACAGAAUUAGAGAACAGGUUAGUGGCUGUCAGGAGCAAGGGCGGGAGUGCUGAUAGGAAAGAAGUGGGUGUGAUUAUGAACAGGCGGCAGCGAGGGACCCUGGUGCUGACGGCACAGUGCUCUCUCUCAUCACGGUAAGUGUCGAAGUCCUGGUUGUGAUGUUAUGCUGCAGUUUUGCAAGAAGUAACAAUUAGAGGAAACCAGAUAGAAGAUGCCCAGGACUAGUUGCUGAAUUACACGUUCCCACUAAAUGUAAAUUUACAGGUAUGUUAAAAACAAAGUUCAGUUUUUAAAAAAUCGCCUAAAAUGAAAUUAACUAGCGUGUUUCUUAAUAAUCUCCUCGGGAGAAGUCUGGAUAUGUUGGACAAUAGGGAUGUUUUUCCUCUAAAAAUAGACAAAUGCUUAAAUAUACUAAUUAUUAUAUUAAACUCACUAAGUUUCAAAGAUAUAUCUUAUUAAAAUAAACAGAUGUUCCUAAAUGACUUUCUCAUUUUAUCUAUGAUUUAUACUUCUUUGAAAUAUAAUUAAGUUUACCUUUUAUGUAGCAUAAUGCUCAGAAAUGCAAACAUUAUUUUUUACAUUUAAUAGAAAUUUGAGAAAAUUAUUAAAAUAUCCAAAUUUUCAUUUUUCUUUUUUAAUUGUGAUGUAGUUGGCGUAUUACUUUUGAGUAUACAGCAUAAUGAUUCAAUAUUUGUAUAUGUUGAAAUCAUCACUACAACAGUAUAGUUAACAUUCAUUUUAACAUCAGUUUCUAAAUAUGUAUUUGAUGCACUAGAUUAGUAAAUCUUUCAAAGCUGAAUUGCUAGCCUACAGUGGAUUUCCCCAUGCCUGCAUUCCAUUGUUGCUUCUGAAAACUCCAAACAUUUGGUUUCUGUGAUAAAAUUUUUGGCAGAUUCAUUCACUUUAACAUGCUGGAUGCCUCUUGCUUUAAAAUAAGUAUCUUAGUCAUCAGAAUGGUUUUAUGUUCAGUGCAGCUUUCAGAAAGAUAAACAACUUCUCUAGAUUAUUUUAUAUCAUUGAAUGCUUAUUCAAUACAACCAAACAAAA